Molecule: ribosomal RNA, 1485 nt
Filed under: Shigella sonnei
Lineage: Bacteria; Pseudomonadati; Pseudomonadota; Gammaproteobacteria; Enterobacterales; Enterobacteriaceae
Description: partial 23S ribosomal RNA
Rfam family: Bacterial large subunit ribosomal RNA
Source: RNAcentral
GUUACUGCGAAGGGGGGACGGAGAAGGCUAUGUUGGCCGGGCGACGGUUGUCCCGGUUUAAGCGUGUAGGCUGGUUUUCCAGGCAAAUCCGGAAAAUCAAGGCUGAGGCGUGAUGACGAGGCACUACGGUGCUGAAGCAACAAAUGCCCUGCUUCCAGGAAAAGCCUCUAAGCAUCAGGUAACAUCAAAUCGUACCCCAAACCGACACAGGUGGUCAGGUAGAGAAUACCAAGGCGCUUGAGAGAACUCGGGUGAAGGAACUAGGCAAAAUGGUGCCGUAACUUCGGGAGAAGGCACGCUGAUAUGUAGGUGAAGUCCCUUGCGGAUGGAGCUGAAAUCAGUCGAAGAUACCAGCUGGCUGCAACUGUUUAUUAAAAACACAGCACUGUGCAAACACGAAAGUGGACGUAUACGGUGUGACGCCUGCCCGGUGCCGGAAGGUUAAUUGAUGGGGUCAGCGCAAGCGAAGCUCUUGAUCGAAGCCCCGGUAAACGGCGGCCGUAACUAUAACGGUCCUAAGGUAGCGAAAUUCCUUGUCGGGUAAGUUCCGACCUGCACGAAUGGCGUAAUGAUGGCCAGGCUGUCUCCACCCGAGACUCAGUGAAAUUGAACUCGCUGUGAAGAUGCAGUGUACCCGCGGCAAGACGGAAAGACCCCGUGAACCUUUACUAUAGCUUGACACUGAACAUUGAGCCUUGAUGUGUAGGAUAGGUGGGAGGCUUUGAAGUGUGGACGCCAGUCUGCAUGGAGCCGGCCUUGAAAUACCACCCUUUAAUGUUUGAUGUUCUAACGUGGACCCGUGAUCCGGGUUGCGGACAGUGUCUGGUGGGUAGUUUGACUGGGGCGGUCUCCUCCUAAAGAGUAACGGAGGAGCACGAAGGUUGGCUAAUCCUGGUCGGACAUCAGGAGGUUAGUGCAAUGGCAUAAGCCAGCUUGACUGCGAGCGUGACGGCGCGAGCAGGUGCGAAAGCAGGUCAUAGUGAUCCGGUGGUUCUGAAUGGAAGGGCCAUCGCUCAACGGAUAAAAGGUACUCCGGGGAUAACAGGCUGAUACCGCCCAAGAGUUCAUAUCGACGGCGGUGUUUGGCACCUCGAUGUCGGCUCAUCACAUCCUGGGGCUGAAGUAGGUCCCAAGGGUAUGGCUGUUCGCCAUUUAAAGUGGUACGCGAGCUGGGUUUAGAACGUCGUGAGACAGUUCGGUCCCUAUCUGCCGUGGGCGCUGGAGAACUGAGGGGGGCUGCUCCUAGUACGAGAGGACCGGAGUGGACGCAUCACUGGUGUUCGGGUUGUCAUGCCAAUGGCACUGCCCGGUAGCUAAAUGCGGAAGAGAUAAGUGCUGAAAGCAUCUAAGCACGAAACUUGCCCCGAGAUGAGUUCUCCCUGACCCUUUAAGGGUCCUGAAGGAACGUUGAAGACGACGACGUUGAUAGGCCGGGUGUGUAAGCGCAGCGAUGCGUUGAGCUAACCGGUACUAAUGAACCGUGAG